RNAcentral lists this ribosomal RNA (195 nucleotides) under uncultured bacterium. RNAcentral describes it as "partial 16S ribosomal RNA". It matches the Rfam family "Bacterial small subunit ribosomal RNA", at positions 665 to 858 of the family's 1533-position model. The record is from RNAcentral.
AAUUCCACGUGUAGCAGUGAAAUGCGUAGAUAUGUGGAGGAACACCGAUGGCGAAGGCAGCCCCCUGGGCCAACACUGACGCUCAUGCACGAAAGCGUGGGGAGCAAACAGGAUUAGAUACCCUGGUAGUCCACGCCCUAAACGAUGUCAACUAGGUGUUGGGGGAUUAGACUCCUUUAGUACCGCAGCUAACGC